CCUACGACCUACACUGAGGAAUAUUAACCUUAUUAUUUUCACCUACGAUCUUCUUCUACGUCAUAUGAGUGUAUUCUCACCCAUCUUCGUUCGCUGGCUCCAUCUUUUGCUUGCUCAUCAGUCAUCCAUGACGUUUACAACUCAGUUUCUCAUCUGCUCCCGUCAAAUCGCGUCUCUGCUUCCUUCAAUUGCAUCGUCACCGACGCUCGCUUUCCCUCGCCGAAAAUGGUGGAACCAGCCAUAUUUUGACAGCUCCAUGCAUUCACUGUAAUUUGGUCAUCCUUCUUUCUAAAUUCCAGAUCUGAGUGCAUUCCCAAGGAGCAAAUUGUGGAUAAGCAAUCCUUUGCAAAUUCGAAGCUUAUGCCCUGAAAGAGAAGCAUGAAAGAUCAGAGCAAGGAGCUCCAUAGUUGGCAAUUAUGAUCUUGAAUUUAUUGAAAUUUGUUGAAGGAAUGUCUGCCACUGCUACCUAGAAUGCAGGUGAGUGAUCCUGUUGCAAAGUAUUAUGGACUUAAGCGUGGGCAAAUCGUGAAGAUAAUUCGGCCAAGUGAGACUGCAGGCAGAUAUGUCACCUACUGAUUUGUUGUUUGAUAACUUCCUUGAAUAUACUGACCUUACUAUCCUUACUAUGCUACUGUGUUCCGUUAUCAAUUGAUAUUGAUACAAAGCUUGGACAAGGAUGCAAAGCCUUUUGGAAUAGGGUGACCUCUUUCUGUUUAUACUUUAUAAUAGAUAAAUAUUUGUGUUACUAUUGGAGCUUUGGAAUCAAAAGCGAGCAUGAUCUUAUCAUAUAAAAAUGUGUUGAAAGGCAUUUUCUCUA
This is a long non-coding RNA of Lotus japonicus, 817 nucleotides long. RefSeq lists it as uncharacterized. The record is from RefSeq and is a predicted model, not a curated record. The transcript has 3 exons. NCBI's taxonomy places the organism in Eukaryota, Viridiplantae, Streptophyta, Magnoliopsida, Fabales, Fabaceae.